GAUGAACGCUGGCGGCGUGCCUAAUACAUGCAAGUCGAGCGAACAGACGAGGAGCUUGCUCCUCUGACGUUAGUGGCGGACGGGUGAGUAACACGUGGAUAACCUACCUAUAAGACUGGGAUAACUUCGGGAAACCGGAGCUAAUACCGGAUAAUAUAUUGAACCGCAUGGUUCAAUAGUGAAAGACGGUUUUGCUGUCACUUAUAGAUGGAUCCGCGCCGCAUUAGCUAGUUGGUAAGGUAACGGCUUACCAAGGCAACGAUGCGUAGCCGACCUGAGAGGGUGAUCGGCCACACUGGAACUGAGACACGGUCCAGACUCCUACGGGAGGCAGCAGUAGGGAAUCUUCCGCAAUGGGCGAAAGCCUGACGGAGCAACGCCGCGUGAGUGAUGAAGGUCUUCGGAUCGUAAAACUCUGUUAUUAGGGAAGAACAAAUGUGUAAGUAACUAUGCACGUCUUGACGGUACCUAAUCAGAAAGCCACGGCUAACUACGUG
This 497-nucleotide ribosomal RNA is filed under the name uncultured bacterium. Its description in RNAcentral is "partial 16S ribosomal RNA". It matches the Rfam family "Bacterial small subunit ribosomal RNA", at positions 28 to 507 of the family's 1533-position model. The record is from RNAcentral.